Molecule: ribosomal RNA, 465 nt
Filed under: Vreelandella stevensii
Lineage: Bacteria; Pseudomonadati; Pseudomonadota; Gammaproteobacteria; Oceanospirillales; Halomonadaceae
Description: partial 16S ribosomal RNA
Rfam family: Bacterial small subunit ribosomal RNA
Source: RNAcentral
CCUACGGGUGGCUGCAGUGGGGAAUAUUGGACAAUGGGGGGAACCCUGAUCCAGCCAUGCCGCGUGUGUGAAGAAGGCCCUCGGGUUGUAAAGCACUUUCAGUGAGGAAGAACGCCUGGUGGUUAAUACCCAUCAGGAAAGACAUCACUCACAGAAGAAGCACCGGCUAACUCCGUGCCAGCAGCCGCGGUAAUACGGAGGGUGCGAGCGUUAAUCGGAAUUACUGGGCGUAAAGCGCGCGUAGGUGGCUUGAUAAGCCGGUUGUGAAAGCCCCGGGCUCAACCUGGGAACGGCAUCCGGAACUGUCAAGCUAGAGUGCCGGAGAGGAAGGUAGAAUUCCCGGUGUAGCGGUGAAAUGCGUAGAGAUCGGGAGGAAUACCAGUGGCGAAGGCGGCCUUCUGGACUGACACUGACACUGAGGUGCGAAAGCGUGGGUAGCAAACAGGAUUAGAUACCCUGGUAGUC